Long non-coding RNA from Lingula anatina, 359 nucleotides. The record is from RefSeq and is a predicted model, not a curated record. NCBI's taxonomy places the organism in Eukaryota, Metazoa, Brachiopoda, Lingulata, Lingulida, Lingulidae.
CAAGAACGGCUGGCGCUGUGACUGUGGUUCUGGCUUUGAGCUCGACAACAUCACGGGGGGUUGCCAUGAUAUCAACGAAUGCCUCAGCAACCCUUGCAGCGGUUAUGACACGUGUUUGAACAGCAAUGGGUCCUACCAGUGCCAAUGGAGGGAAUGCCCCCCUGGUUACAACAAGAUAGGUUCCGGAUGUUACGUCAUAUCAAGUUCAACAGCAAAUCAUCAGCAGGCUAUCGACAGGUGCAAAAACCUUGGUGGCGUUUUACCAACUAUUGAACGGAAGUCAGAAUACAAAGCACUGGUAACAGCAUUGGAUAAGAAGAAAGAAUACCAUAUAAGCGUGAAUGACAUGGAAACUGAAG